RNAcentral lists this ribosomal RNA (395 nucleotides) under uncultured bacterium. RNAcentral describes it as "bacterial SSU rRNA". It matches the Rfam family "Bacterial small subunit ribosomal RNA", at positions 505 to 898 of the family's 1533-position model. The record is from RNAcentral.
GUGUCAGCAGCCGCGGUAAGACAGAGGGUGCAAACGUUGUUCGGAAUUACUGGGCGUAAAGCGCGUGUAGGCGGUCUAGCAAGUCGGAUGUGAAAGCCCUUGGCUCAACUGAGGAAGUGCAUUCGAAACUGCAAGACUUGAGUCCCGGAGAGGAUGGUGGAAUUCUCGGUGUAGAGGUGAAAUUCGUAGAUAUCGAGAGGAACACCGGUGGCGAAGGCGGCCAUCUGGACGGUGACUGACGCUGAGACGCGAAAGCAUGGGGAGCAAACAGGAUUAGAUACCCUGGUAGUCCAUGCCGUAAACGAUGGGUGCUAGGUGUCGCGGGCAUUGACCCCUGCGGUGCCGUAGCUAACGCAUUAAGCACCCCGCCUGGGGAGUACGGCCGCAAGGCUAAA